GGCAGGCACUUUCCUUUCGAUUUCUGUUUUUCUCCUCCAUUCCUGCCUUCAUUCCUGCACUCAAAGGAGCUCAUGGGGAGGCAGUGAAAGCCCGAGGAUGGUGAAGGUUUGAGUGUGUGUGUGAUUGUGUGUGGCAGAGUAACACUGUGCAAACCCUCUGCCCUCCCUGCCCUGCACCCUGGGCUGUGCUGAGAGCCUUCCUUCCUUCUGCUUCUCAGAGCCAGCAAUGGAAACUGCCAAGAAGAGUUCUCUCUAUCCAUUGAGUACUUUGCAACUAGUGAAAGCAGGACUAAUGGUUCAGCACAACAAGUUUUCCCAUGCCGACUCCUCAGAUGUCCAAUGUGUAUGUGCAUCAACCAGCUCUGUAGUGGAGGUGGGGAAGCAUGAAGCAAGUUGGGCAUGAGAGAUGGCAGCCUGGACGCCAGCCUAGGCUCACGGGAUACUGGGUUUUAAUCAAUCAACUCGCUGUGACAGUCAGAUAUUUUUGGGGCAGAAAUAAGGGCUCUGAAAGGAAGAAGAUUGUUUCCAAGUUGUGCCUCCCUGUGUUACUGCCAAAAGGUGAGGAGGCCCGUAUUAAAAGAUCUGUCAAAGCUUAACCUCCAAGAUAGAAUAAAAAAUUAUAAAGAUC
Molecule: long non-coding RNA, 628 nt
Organism: Hemicordylus capensis (graceful crag lizard)
Lineage: Eukaryota; Metazoa; Chordata; Lepidosauria; Squamata; Cordylidae
Exons: 4
Source: RefSeq, a predicted model, not a curated record